RNAcentral lists this ribosomal RNA (901 nucleotides) under Inocybe hopeae. Its description in RNAcentral is "partial large subunit ribosomal RNA". It matches the Rfam family "Eukaryotic large subunit ribosomal RNA", at positions 63 to 952 of the family's 3401-position model. The record is from RNAcentral. Lineage: Eukaryota; Fungi; Basidiomycota; Agaricomycetes; Agaricales; Inocybaceae.
AACUAACAAGGAUUCCCCUAGUAACUGCGAGUGAAGCGGGAAAAGCUCAAAUUUGAAAUCUGGCAGUUUCUAACUGUCCGAAUUGUAAUCUAGAGAAGUGUUACCUGUGCUGGACCAUGUACAAGUCUUCUGGAAUGGAGCAUCAUAGAGGGUGAGAAUCCCGUCUUUGACAUGGACUACCAGUGCAUUAUGGUAUGCUCUCAAAGAGUCGAGUUGUUUGGGAAUGCAGCUCAAAAUGGGUGGUAAAUGCCAUCUAAAGCUAAAUAUUGGCGAGAGACCGAUAGCGAACAAGUACCGUGAGGGAAAGAUGAAAAGAACUUUGGAAAGAGAGUUAAACAGUACGUGAAAUUGCUGAAAGGGAAACGCUUGAAGUCAGUCAUGUUGGCUAGAAAUCAGCCUUGCUUUUGCUUGGUGUAUUUUCUAGUCUACAGGUCAGCAUCAAUUUUGACCAUUGGAUAAAGUCUUUGGGAAUGUAGCAUCUUUGGAUGUGUUAUAGCCCAUUGUCGCAUACAGUGGUUGGGAUUGAGGAACUCAGCAUGCCGCAAGGCUGGGUCUUUUAGACCACACUCAUGCUUAGGAUGCUGGCAUAAUGGCUUUAAUCGACCCGUCUUGAAACACGGACCAAGGAGUCUAACAUGCCUGCAAGUGUUUGGGUGGAAAACCCAUGCGCGUAAUGAAAGUGAAAGUUGAGAUCUCUUUGAGAGCAUUGACGCCCAGACCAGACCUUUUGUGACGGAUCUGCGGUAGAGCAUGUAUGUUGGGACCCGAAAGAUGGUGAACUAUGCCUGAAUAGGGUGAAGCCAGAGGAAACUCUGGUGGAGGCUCGUAGCGAUUCUGACGUGCAAAUCGAUCGUCAAAUUUGGGUAUAGGGGCGAAAGACUAAUCGAACCAUCUAGUAGCU